CAGGCCGGCAUGGCAAGCAUGGGGCUGCCUGCCCUACCCAGCAGGCAACAGCUCCCCAGGUCUCAGCUCAGUGUGGCUUGAUCCCAUGGGGGGAUCUGCCCCCUUGUGCAGGAAGGGAUGCCCUAUUUCCCCUGAGCACGUGGUCCCAGGGGAAGGCUGGCUGCCAAGGGCUGGCUGGUUGCGCACAGGUUGCUUUGGAUCCAAAUCAAGGCAAAGUUAAGCAUUUAAUUUCCACUGCAGGGAAGCAGCUCAGCAAUCAGAGAAAAUUGAAUCAGGGUCCCCAGAGAUUGCCAGGUCUGGUCAGCAAACGUUCCAAUUAAGAAAUACAGCAAGUCACCUCCUAGCAGGAGCAAGCACAGGAGAGCACCAGGCUCAGCCUGCCUGCAGAGCCCCCCAUGCCAUCCCAAACCCCACCAAAGCCAAGGGUGCCAUGGCCAGCCGGACCUGCACCAGGGGCAAGACGGAGCUCCCUGGCUGCUGGAUCCCCUUCUUCACCACCAGCACCAGGAAGCCUGGGGACAGGCAAGUCCCCCCAGAGCUGGGGGGUGUGUGGAUGGGUGCUGGACACAGCUCAGCACAAGGACAUGCCUCCACAGCGCAUUCAGCCCCCAAGGAAGCGACCCCAAUACAGAUCCUCUGCAUGGAUGUGCUGGCUGUGCCCAGCUCCCGGCCUGCUCCCCAGAGGGGCAAACCCUGCUGCCUUGGACCCCGGAGCCCACUGGGCCCCUCUUAAUCCUCCUGCUCCAGGCUUUCCCAGGCUUAGAAAAACCUUUAAAUCAGGGCUUGGCAGCCGCCAUGUGCUGCUCAUUAGCUCUGGCAGGAGCACACCGGUGCUGAGCCACACCAUCUGCUUUGUGCCCAGACCCACUGCAGGUUGGGGACGAGGGACUUGCUGCCUGCACAGGGACCUGGUACCCGGGGACACCCAACCCAAGGCAGCAGGCAGAGACAAGCAGAGCCCGAGGGAAGCAUGGGAUCAUGCUCUACCCAGCCUAGAGGUGAGCAGGAGCAAAACAAGUUUGGGAUCUCCCUGGACUCCUCCUUCAUCUCCAUACGCAGCUGGCAAUGCCAUCAGCUCUGUGCUGGACCUGCCCGAGAGAAGAGGCUGGGAAACACCACGAGGAUGCUUGCAAACAACACACCAGGACAGUCACCCACCAAGGGGUGCAAG
This 1171-nucleotide long non-coding RNA is filed under the name Calidris pugnax (ruff). Its description in RNAcentral is "lncRNA (ENSCPUG00000017328.1)". Lineage: Eukaryota; Metazoa; Chordata; Aves; Charadriiformes; Scolopacidae. The record is from RNAcentral.